UAUCUCUCUCUAAACUCUCUGCAGAAACGGCGACCACCCAAAAACUUCAGAUUUCAUGUGGUUUUUAUCGCAAACUUGAGAGGAUCGGUCAUUAAAGAGGAACAAAUUAAGUUGAAGACUGUUGCGGAUGUUGAUGAAGAUUUGAGGGCGUUAUUGAUGUGUAAUCAAACAGAUUUAGGGUUUCUGAAAUUGUUGAAUUAUGAGGAAUUGAUAGUGAUAAUGGGUACGGGUGAUCUAAGAACAAAAAGGGUUGAUAUUAGUUUAAAGAUGUGAAUCUGUUCUGCUGAUAAAGAAUCGAAACAGGAGGUUGCUGGUGAAAAUAGUCAGAGCAUACAUCUGGUGUGACCACAUUGAGGAGUGUAACAAAAGUUCAGGAGUUCGUUGUUAGCAGGGCGGAGGGGAACGAUGAUGGUAGCAAUGCUGAUGCCUAGGAGGUUGGUCGAGAAUAUGGAGACACGAGCAUAACAGAAGGAGCUCAGAUUUAUGGCGAGCUCGAAGAAGGAAACGGGUAUAGAAGUGUAAGCCACCAUCUAAAACCACCAGCCACCACCAUUGUUUUUCCCAAACCAUCUUGCAUCUCUACUAGCAUACCACCAAAUCCAUACCACCAUUCCAGUGCAUAUCCCAUACCACCAGUUCACAUCAGUUUCAACACUUUAUAAACGUUCACAACCUCAACAGCAGUCAGGGUACACCACUUACGGCUCAAUUUUGACAACCACAACAAAUCCUCACCAGCUUGCAGCAAACUGCAACACUAAGAACGACUUGUCAGCAGAUUCCACAUCAGUAGAUUCCACGUCAGCAUCUACCACUUGUUAGAGUUGGCCCGUCGUAAGGUGCCACAUGUUAGUGUUUGUACACGUCAGCAGCUUUCACGUGUUAGAGUUUAACCAUGGUUAAUAGUAGCUGGAGUUAAUAAGAGGGUAUUUUGGUGAUAAUUAACACCGUUUUCUUGCCCAAAUAGUUAUUUCGGACGGAACAUGACUAUUUUGUAAGCCAAUUUCAAAAGUGUGAUCAUUUUGUAACCGAAUUAGAAAAAGUAGGACCAUUUUGUAAUUGACCCUAUAUUAUUCAUAUGACCUAAUGGUAUUUCCUACUUCUUCA
This is a long non-coding RNA of Papaver somniferum (opium poppy), 1107 nucleotides long. RefSeq lists it as uncharacterized. NCBI's taxonomy places the organism in Eukaryota, Viridiplantae, Streptophyta, Magnoliopsida, Ranunculales, Papaveraceae. The record is from RefSeq and is a predicted model, not a curated record. The transcript has 3 exons.